UUGAACGCUGGCGGCAUGCUUUACACAUGCAAGUCGCACGGCAGCGCGGGCUUCGGCCUGGCGGCGAGUGGCGAACGGGUGAGUAAUGCAUCGGAACGUGCCCAGUAGUGGGGGAUAGCCCGGCGAAAGCCGGAUUAAUACCGCAUACGACCUGAGGGUGAAAGCGGGGGACCGAAAGGCCUCGCGCUAUUGGAGCGGCCGAUGUCGGAUUAGCUUGUUGGUGGGGUAAAGGCUUACCAAGGCGACGAUCCGUAGCUGGUCUGAGAGGACGACCAGCCACACUGGGACUGAGACACGGCCCAGACUCCUACGGGAGGCAGCAGUGGGGAAUUUUGGACAAUGGGGGCAACCCUGAUCCAGCCAUGCCGCGUGCGGGAAGAAGGCCUUCGGGUUGUAAACCGCUUUUGUUCGGGAAGAAAUCCUCUGGGCUAAUACCCCGGGGGGAUGACGGUACCGGAAGAAUAAGCACCGGCUAACUACGUG
Molecule: ribosomal RNA, 483 nt
Filed under: uncultured bacterium
Lineage: Bacteria
Description: partial 16S ribosomal RNA
Rfam family: Bacterial small subunit ribosomal RNA
Source: RNAcentral